AAUUGGAGUGGUGCUCCAAACAAUCCAUGCCGUGUGAAGACCAUUCCUCGUCCAAUUCCUGAGAAGAAAUGGUACCUCACACCAUCUGUUGUUUCACUGAUGGGAGGACUGCUACCCUUUGGCAGCAUAUUCAUUGAGAUGUAUUUUGUCUUCACAUCCUUCUGGAAUUACAAGGUUUACUAUGUGUAUGGCUUUAUGCUACUUGUUUUUCUGAUACUCAUUAUUGUCACUGUUUGUGUGACAAUUGUUGGGACAUAUUUCUUGCUCAAUGCUGAGAACUAUCACUGGCAG
This 291-nucleotide unclassified non-coding RNA is filed under the name Hevea brasiliensis (rubber tree). Lineage: Eukaryota; Viridiplantae; Streptophyta; Magnoliopsida; Malpighiales; Euphorbiaceae. The record is from RNAcentral.